UACGUAGGGGGCAAGCGUUAUCCGGAUUUACUGGGUGUAAAGGGAGCGUAGACGGCAAGGCAAGUCUGAAGUGAAAGCCCGGUGCUUAAAGCCGGGACUGCUUUGGAAACUGUUUGGCUGGAGUGCCGGAGAGGUAAGCGGAAUUCCUAGUGUAGCGGUGAAAUGCGUAGAUAUUAGGAAGAACACCAGUGGCGAAGGCGGCUUACUGGACGGUAACUGACGUUGAGGCUCGAAAGCGUGGGGAGCAAACAGGAUUAGAUACCCUGGUAGUCCACGCCGUAAACGAUGAUUGCUAGGUGUAGGUGGGUAUGGACCCAUCGGUGCCGCAGCUAACGCAAUAAGCAAUCCACCUGGGGAGUACGUUCGCAAGAAUGAA
RNAcentral lists this ribosomal RNA (376 nucleotides) under uncultured bacterium. Its description in RNAcentral is "bacterial SSU rRNA". It matches the Rfam family "Bacterial small subunit ribosomal RNA", at positions 524 to 898 of the family's 1533-position model. The record is from RNAcentral.